Non-coding RNA from Danio rerio (zebrafish), 8657 nucleotides. NCBI's taxonomy places the organism in Eukaryota, Metazoa, Chordata, Actinopteri, Cypriniformes, Danionidae. The record is from RefSeq and is a predicted model, not a curated record.
UGCACAUGGUUCGAGCGGGUCAGUAUGCUGGUCAUCCUCCUCAACUGUGUGACUUUAGGCAUGUAUCAGCCCUGUGAGAACAUCAACUGCUCAUCUGAGCGCUGUCAGGUCCUGCAGGCUUUUGACGCCUUCAUCUACAUCUUCUUUGCACUGGAGAUGGUGGUGAAGAUGCUGGCUCUGGGCAUCUUCGGGCAUCGCUGCUAUCUGGGAGACACCUGGAACAGACUGGACUUCUUCAUCGUGAUGGCAGGGGUGGUGGAGUAUUCACUGGAUGUGCAGGACAUCAAUCUGACGGCGAUCCGGACGGUGCGAGUCCUGCGGCCGCUCAAAGCCAUCAACAGAGUCCCCAGCAUGAGGAUCCUGGUGAACCUGCUGCUGGACACGCUGCCCAUGCUGGGGAAUGUGCUGCUGCUCUGCUUCUUCGUCUUCUUCAUCUUCGGCAUCAUCGGCGUUCAGCUGUGGGCGGGACUCCUGCGAAACCGCUGCUACCCGGAGGAGAACUUCACACUUUCCAGUGGCGUGUCUCUUCCGGCUCCAUACUACGCUCUGGAUGUGGAGGACGAGCGGCCCUUCAUCUGCUCUCUGCCGCAGGAUAAUGGCAUCAUGUCCUGCAGGGAUGUGCCGGCGCGCCGUCUGGCUGGACACCAGUGCUGUCUGGAUGUGGACGACCUGCUGCACCAUCAGACCCUGGGCAUCCUGCUCGAACCCAUGCACCAUCAGGUCCCGGGGAUCCUGCUCGAACCUGUGCCCAAUGCUAGCGCCAUCCCGCCCGGUCUGUGUGUGAACUGGCACCAGUACUACACUCGCUGCCAAACCGGACACAAAAACCCACACAAAGGAGCCAUCAACUUCGACAACAUCGGAUACGCCUGGAUCGUCAUCUUUCAGGUCAUUACUCUGGAGGGCUGGGUGGAGAUCAUGUAUUAUGUGAUGGAUGCUCACUCCUUCUACAACUUCCUGUAUUUUAUUCUGCUGAUUAUAGUGGGCUCGUUCUUCAUGAUAAACCUGUGUCUGGUGGUGAUCGCGACGCAGUUUUCGGAGACGAAGCAGCGCGAGCACAUGCUGAUGCAGCAGCAGAAAGCGGUCCGUGGCUCCUGCAGCACUCUCAGCUCCAUGGCGGAGGCUGGAAACUGCUACGAGGAGAUCUUCCAGCUGCUGUGCCACGUGCUGCGCAAGUGCCGCCGCCGCUGCCUCACACUGCUCUGCCGUACACACACACGGCGCAGCCAGAACACACACCAGAACCAGAGCAAAACCAACAUCAACGGCGGAGAGAAGAGCCGACAGACGCAGGAUGAGGCCACACCCACCGCCUCAGCAGCUAAUCAGGAGCCAGAGGAGGUGGCGGCCAAGGAAGCAGACAGCUGUGAGAAGGCGGAUGAGGAGGAGGGGGCGUGUCAGAGGCGGAGCCGAGAGCUUUGGAUGCAAACGAGGGUCAAACUGUGGGGGAUCGUGGAGAGCAAAUACUUCAACAGAGGAAUCAUGGUGGCCAUACUCAUCAACACCAUCAGCAUGGGGAUAGAGCACCACCAACAGCCAGAGGAGCUCACUAAUGUCCUGGAGAUCAGUAAUAUUGUCUUCACCAGUAUGUUUGCACUGGAGAUGAUCCUGAAGCUGACUGCAUUCGGCUGCUUUAAUUACCUGCGCAACCCCUACAACAUCUUCGACGGAGUCAUCGUCAUCAUCAGUGUGUGUGAGAUCGUGAGUCAGUCUGACGGUGGUCUGUCCAUCCUGCGCACGUUCCGGCUGCUGCGAGUGUUAAAGCUGGUGCGCUUUAUGCCGGCGCUGCGCAGACAACUGGUGGUGCUGAUGAAGACCAUGGACAACGUGGCCACUUUCUGCAUGCUGCUGAUGCUCUUCAUCUUCAUCUUCAGUAUUCUGGGAAUGCAUAUAUUUGGCUGUAAGUUCAGUCUGAAGAAUGAUUCUGGAGACACGGUUCCAGACCGCAAGAACUUUGACUCUCUGCUGUGGGCCAUCGUCACUGUGUUUCAGAUCCUGACGCAGGAGGACUGGAACGUGGUGCUGUAUAACGGUAUGGCCUCCACGUCUCCUCUGGCCGCUCUGUAUUUCGUGGCUCUGAUGACGUUCGGGAAUUAUGUGCUGUUUAAUCUGCUGGUGGCCAUAUUGGUGGAGGGCUUUCAGGCUGAGGGAGACGCCAAUCGCUCAUACUCUGAUGAUGAUGAUGAUGAUGGAGAUGAAGGAUCGUCCUGUAAUGGAAGUGAAAAGCACAAAGACUCGCUCACGUUCUCUGAUCCAAAACUGCCCUCGCUCACUCCUAACGGGCAUCUGGAGCUGGAGCCGCUGGCGGAGGAGAAACCCAGAACCAGCUUCUCUGAGCAGAACCACCGCAGACGCACAAUCUGCCUGGGCAGGAGAUCCUCCUCUCUGCGCCACAGCCGCAGUUCCCACUACCACAACUGGGGUCGUCCUCUUCCCCCUCAGGCAUCCUGGAGCCGCCGCAGCAGCUGGAACAGUGCGGGGCGCUCUGGCCGAGGUUUGAGGUCUGCAGGGGUCAUCGGGGGAAGUUUGAGGGUCCGCAGUGUCCACUCCCACCCCACGGAGCACCAGUCUCUGCUCCCACGGCCUUAUCUCCUGUCCCGCCUGGACCGCCGCGCAGUCUCUCUGGAUCUGCCAGAAAUAAUGCAGCGCCCCCCUCUGGCCAGAAAGAAGAGCGUGUCUGCUGAGCACCAGGACUGUAACGGGAAGACCCCAGGCCCUCAGGGGCCCUUGCUGGCAGAGAUCUAUCCUCAGCUCAACGCACGCAAAGACAAGAAGGACCUGGAGGAGGACACUGAAUACAGCCUGUGUUUCAGGAUCCAGAAGAUGAUGGAGGUUUAUCGGCCAGACUGGUGUGAGAAGAGAGAAAACUGGUCCAUUUACUUAUUUUCCCCUCAGAACAAGUUUCGUCUGAAGUGUCAGGCUGUCAUCGCUCAUAAACUCUUUGACUAUGUGGUUCUGGCGUUCAUCUUCCUCAACUGCAUCACAGUGGCUCUGGAAAGGCCCAGAAUCCAUCAGGGAAGCCUGGAGCGAGUCCUCCUCACCGUCUCCAACUAUGUGUUCACUGCCAUCUUUGUGGCCGAGAUGACGGCCAAGGUGGUGUCGAAGGGUCUGUAUCUGGGUGAGCGGGCGUAUCUGCGCAGCAGCUGGAAUAUUCUGGACGGGUUUCUGGUCUUUGUGUCUCUGGUUGACAUUGUGGUGUCGAUGACGGGUGGAGCCAAGAUUCUGGGGGUCCUGCGGGUGCUGAGGCUGCUGAGGACGCUUCGCCCACUCAGGGUGAUCAGUCGAGCUCCAGGGCUGAAGCUGGUGGUGGAGACUCUGAUCACGUCACUGAAGCCCAUCGGGAACAUCGUCCUCAUCUGCUGCGCUUUCUUCAUCAUCUUCGGCAUUCUGGGGGUUCAGCUCUUCAAAGGGAAGUUCUAUUACUGUGUUGGUCUGGAUGUGAGAAAUGUCACCAAUAAAUCCGACUGUCUCUCCGCCAAUUACCGCUGGGUUCAUCACAAGUACAACUUUGACAACCUGGGGCAGGCUCUGAUGUCUCUGUUUGUGUUGGCGUCUAAAGAUGGAUGGGUAAACAUCAUGUACCACGGGCUCGACGCCGUCGGGAUCGACCAGCAGCCGGUCAUCAACCACAACCCCUGGAUGCUGCUGUACUUCAUCUCGUUCCUGCUGAUCGUCAGCUUCUUCGUGCUCAACAUGUUUGUUGGUGUGGUGGUGGAGAACUUCCACAAGUGCCGUAAGCAUCAGGAGGUGGAGGAGGAGCGCCAGCGGGUGGCGAAGCGCCUCAAGCGCAUGGCCAAGAGGAGGCACAAGGCUCAGUUUGCCCCGUAUUACGCCUCAUACGGUCGUGUUCGUCUGAUGAUCCACUCGUUCUGCACCAGUCAUUAUCUGGACCUCUUCAUCACCCUCAUCAUCUGCGUUAAUGUGGUCACCAUGAGUCUAGAGCACUACGACCAACCACAGUCUCUGGAAACCGCACUGAAAUACUGCAAUUACUUCUUCAGCUGCACGUUUGUGAUCGAGGCCAUGCUGAAGCUGGUGGCGUUCGGCUUCAGACGCUUCUUUAAGGACAGGUGGAAUCAGCUGGAUCUGGCGAUUGUUCUGUUGUCUGUGAUGGGAAUCAUUCUGGAGGAGAUUGAAAUAAGCGCUUCACUUCCCAUCAAUCCCACCAUCAUCCGCAUCAUGAGGGUCCUGCGCAUCACCCGCGUUCUGAAGCUGUUAAAGAUGGCCACCGGGAUGCGGGCUCUGCUGGAUACUGUGGUGCAGGCUCUACCGCAGGUGGGGAAUCUGGGUUUGCUCUUUGUUCUACUCUUCUUCAUCUACGCUGCACUCGGUGUUGAGCUGUUUGGAGAGCUGGUGUGUAAUGAGGACUACCCGUGUGAAGGAAUGAGCCGGCACGCCACCUUUGAGAAUUUCGGCAUGGCGUUCCUCACACUCUUCCAGGUGUCCACCGGAGACAACUGGAACGGCAUCAUGAAGGAUACUCUGCGUGAGUGUCCGCCGGGUGACAGCUCCUCCUGUAACUCCAGCCUGCAGUUCAUCUCUCCGCUGUACUUCGUCAGUUUCGUGCUGACGGCGCAGUUCGUGCUGAUUAACGUGGUGGUGGCGGUGCUGAUGAAGCAUCUGGACGACUCCAAUAAAGAAGCGAUCGAGGACGCCGAGAUGGAGGAGGAGAUGGAGAAGGAGCGGGAGAAGGAGCUGGCGCAGGGCGGCCUCUGCUGUCUGGGUCGUUUGGACCGUUUGACCACGACUGAUGCGGGAGAGAAGAGCGGCUGUGGGAACAGACAGGCGGCGACAGCGGCGGUGCACAGCAACAACCAGAGCGCACACACACCGCACACUAACACACAACACACACUGCAGGAGAGGAGACUCUACUCACCCGCACAGGAGAACCAGUGGCUGGAGAGCGUCUCUCUGCUGAUGAAGGACUCUCUGGAUGGAGAAAUGCAGAUGAUUGAUAAUCUGUCCGGCUCGGUGUUCCACCAUUACUGCUCUCCACCAAUCAGACGAGGCGGCAGGAGCCAAUCAGGAGAGAUCCGGCUGGCAGAGGUGGAGCAGACGUCUCUGAUGUCAGAGCAGCUGUCUGAUAAAUCCUCUUCACCCGCUCUGCCUGAUGACAUCAGUCUGGACGAACACAGCGACUGUCAACUGCUGGACACGGGCUGGAAGGAGGAGCAGGGCAGCAGUGAGGCUUUGAGUCCACUGAUAGACAGACGGUCGACCCUUCAUCUCCAUUCUCCAGAUGGCAGUAGAGACGGUCAGACGUCUUCAUCUCUCUUCCAUCUUCCGGCUGAGUUCUUCCACCCCACCAGCGCUGCUUUCCCCCAGCGCCGCCCAGCACCCGGAGCAGCUCUGCCGGGAUCCAGACACACGUCUCCAGCCUCUUGGGCCUCGCUUCGGUCCCCGGGGGCCGACAGCAGAGUCAUGGGCUCUCAGGCGUCCUACAGUAAUUCCUCACUGGCCACAGGCAGUUCUGUGAGCAGCUUACAGGCCAUGCCAGAAGAAAGCGUUUCUGCAUCGGGAGAACAAACCGUGCCCAAAAUCUGCAGAUCCCACAUUCCCCAUCAGAAACCUCACGCUGUACAGUCUGUGUCCAUCCUCCAGUCCAGCAGGGGGCACCAGAGGAGUCGAAGCAGAAAUACUGACUGCGCAAACAGAAUCUCACAGGACUCCACAGAGCCCUCGGAUGACAAUCCCGAACAGUUGUCGGAUAACCUGAGCAGCUUUUCUCUGACAUCUCUGCACCCGCCUGACUCUCUGGCGCCACCGCUGGCCAAAAAGUGCAACAGCACCGGGAGUUUAGCGCAAAUGAGCCGGAAUAAAGGCGCAAAGUGCUUUUCUGGAUUUGAUCCCUGGAUUGAAACAACAAGUGAGGAAACUGAACGUGACGCUUCGCCGGUUGGUGCUAAAACCUGCAGCCAGACUGUGAGUUCCAGCUGUCGUCAGAACAGAUGAAAUGCAUGCGCAGUCGAAAAAACUCAUCUACAUGUUUCUCUCGAGUGACACAAACAGUCCCACAGCGCAGUGUCGUUUCUUCUUCAGGGCAUUACACUGGAUUCCUGGAGAUGCAGCAGCAGUCAUCAAGUAGCGUAGAAGGAUCUGGAAAAUAGGAACUAAUCUGUUUAGUUAAAAAUAAAAAGACUAUUAUUAACCCCACCAGCGUGAAUGUGUAGCGUUUAGUCAGGGCUGGACGAUUAAUCAAACUGUGAUUGAGAAAAGCUGCGAUUGUCAUGCACAUAUCAUCAAGGAAACAGGUGUGAUUUGUAGUAAUUCUCCUCAUGAAAGCCAAAGGGCGCUCUAGCGAAAGUUACCUUAGAAAGUAAUGCAUUAUGAUAUCCCCAAAAAAGUAUUUAGUUGCAUUACCUGGUAAAUUUUUAAGGUAAUUAAUGCAUUGCAAUAUUAAUUUAUUCUCCAAAAACAUAACUAGUAGUGUUAAUUAGUUACUUUUUACACUAAUUAAUGCAUUGCAAUAUUAGAUUACUCCUCAAAAAAGUAACUAGUUGCAAUGCUUAGUUACUUUGUAUGGUAAGUAAUGCAUUGCAAUAUUGAGUUACUCCCCCAAAAAGUAACUAGUUGUGUUAAUUAGUUACUUUUUAUAGUAAUUAAUGCGUUACAAUAUUAAUUUACCCCCCAAAAACAUAACUAAUUGUCCUAAUAAGUUACUUUUAUGGUAAUUAAUGUUACAAUAUUAAUUUACUCUCCAAAAACAUAACUAGUUGUGCCAAUUAGUUACUUUUUAUACUAAUUAAUGCAUUACAAUAUUAGAUUACUCCUCAAAGUAACUAGUUGUGAUUCUUAGUUACUUUUUAUUAUAUUUUAUGCAUUACAGUAUUAAGUUACUUGCCCAAAACAUAACUAGUUGCGAUACUUAUUUACUUUUUAUGGUAAUUAAUGCCUUGCAUUACUUCUGAGUUACAGUACCUUUUCUGACAAGGCUGAGGUUUGAUCUCUUUCGGAGCUUGUCUCCAUGGAGAUCUUCUUGCUUUCUGUCUCAUUCUCUCAUCGAGUGGAGGAUUCAGCAUUUAUUUUUUUUAAAGCUGAUUAAUUUAACUAAACUCAGUCACAUUGCAUUUUAAAAAAGUAACUCCAACAUUAAACUCCAUUUAAUGCAUUACUUGUAUUAGAAAAGUAAUAUCAGUACGCAGCUCAUGUUACUUGUAAUGCAUCACCCUCAACACUGCCUUCGACUCUGCUCCAUCUAAACACACGUGUGCUGGAGAAUUACUAGAGCUGGCUUUACUGAUGACUUGCUCAUGAACAUCGCCUCUAUUCACUCGUCCAGUCCUCUGUGUAGAUGACCAUGGGCCUGUAGCAUGAGAUGUGUUCUGACACAGAAAGGAGCUGUGUGCUGUUGGGUUUGUGUCAUGUCCAGAUUACGGCUGAUAUCAUUAGUACUGUCCAACAUACAAUCCUGAGAGAACUGAAGAGGAGUGUGUUAAACACUGUCGAGUUUCUCUGAAUGGUGCUUUGAGACUUGUGCUGGGAGCUAUGAUGUACAGCGCAUACCAGAUCCAACAUCGAGGACAAAUUCAACAGUAUGACCAUUACAAAUGAAUGUGUGUGUGUGUGUGCGUGUGUGUGGGAAUGAAGUCCAGAUGCAAGUUUAUACUGGCCAGUCUCAUAUUUGUCAUAGGUGCCGUUAGGGGGGGUAAGUUAGGACGAUUCUUAGGACUCACACUGUUUUGGGGCCCCCAAGUUACUAUGAAGGGGGCCCAAUCAAGCACCCCAAGCCCUCCCCAGACCCGUUGCUGUGACAUCCCCCCCGCGUCCCUUCCCGCCCAACCCCAGUACUCACUUUCAUCUGCGAAAUGUCUAUUACUUAAAAAGUCUAUACUCAAGCCACAGUUAAACACACACACACACACACACACACACACAUGCACACACACACACACACACACACACACAUUUCCAUGAACAAACUCAUACCUUCUGGCAGUGUGUCAGAGGUAUGCACACACACUCAUGGAUCUGAAUAUGUGAAAGUGAGUGUGUGUGGACGUGUUGAUGGUGUUUUGGUGCAGUAAUUCUGACAUGACGUUACAGCAGCGGCAUCUUUCACCUUUCCUGAUGUAGGAGGACUGAGCUUUAGCAGCCGCCCACUGAUCAUUACUGCUGCUCACUGUGUGUGUGUGUGUGUGUGUGUGUGUGUGUGAGAGAGGUGCUGGAUAACAACACUGACUGACUGUGGAAACACACACACACACACAUAUAUACACACUCUCUCUCACUUGUACCACUCCAACACACAUGCAAACAGACACACACACUGGCUCUCACACACAUGCCUAUGUACACACACACACACUCCAGCAUGUUCAGUCUGGAUGUGAGUGUGUGGAUGUGUGCUGUGUUCAGUUCAGACUCUAUGAGGAGCCCUGUGUAGAUGUGGAGCUCGGUCACUGGGGUUUGGGUCAGGGCUGAUGUUUGUUUCUGGUCAGAUGAUGUCACUGCUCUGUGAAGAUGGCUGAAGAUCAUUUCUUUGUAAAGUGUCAGCUCACGUUUCAUUCCUCUAGCGGCGUAAUAUUACGUCUCUGUCUUCCACUCUGCAUUUUGUACAAACGUCUCCUGAAAAACACAAGUUACUGUGCUUCUCUGGGAGGAUGGAGUGUGAUAUGAGCCAGAACAGACUCAGAAAUAAAGUUCAUACAUGUACA